Molecule: long non-coding RNA, 23884 nt
Filed under: Zea mays
Lineage: Eukaryota; Viridiplantae; Streptophyta; Magnoliopsida; Poales; Poaceae
Description: long non-coding RNA (ZMAY_LNC000771)
Rfam family: tRNA (bases 14862-14935)
Source: RNAcentral
AGGACCGCACCACCACCUAAAAUUGGAGAUUUUCAAUUGGAAAAUUUCAAAUUGGCAUCUUAUUGUGUUCAAAAGGGGGAGAUCGUAGUGUUUCAAAAAUGAUAUAUCAGAACCCUCUUGAACACUAAGAGGAGGAUCUCAUUAAGGGGGAGUUUUGUUUAAGUCAAAGGAAAAGCAUUUGAAACAGGGGGAGAAAAUUUUAAAUCUUGAAAAUGCUUUGCAAAACUCAUUCAUUUACCUUUGACUAUUUGCAAAAGAACUUUGAAAAGGAUUUACAAAAGAGUUUGCAAAAACAAAACAUAUGGUGCAAGCGUGGUCCAAAAUGGUAAAAACAAAGAAACAAUCCAUGCAUAUCUUGUAAGUAUUUAUAUUGGCUCAAUUCCAAGCAACCUUUGCACUUACAUUAUGCAAACUAGUUCAAUUAUGCACUUCUAUAUUUGCUUUGGUUUGUGUUGGCAUCAAUCACCAAAAAGGGGGAGAUUGAAAGGGAAUUAGGCUUACACCUAGUUCCUAAAUAAUUUUGGUGGUUGAAUUGCCCAACACAAAUAAUUGGACUAACUAGUCUGCUCUAGUGUACAAGUUAUACAGGUGCCAAAGGUUCACACUUAGCCAAUAAAAAGACCAAGUAUUGGGUUCAACAAAAGAGCAAAGGGACAACCGAAGGCACCUCUGGUCUGGCGCACCGGACUGUCCGGUGUGCCACCGGACAGUGUCCGGUGCACCACCGGACAUGUCCGGUGCACUAGAGGACUCCAACUCAAACUCAUCACCUUCGGGAAAAUCCAGAGGCAGCUCCACUAUAAUUCAUCGGACUGUCCGGUGUACACCGGACAUGUCCGGUGCUCCAAGGAAGAGCGGCCUCAGGAACUCGCCAGCUUCGGGAAACUGCAACAGCUGCUCCGCUAUAAUUCACCGGACAUGUCCGGUGUACACCGGACUGUCCGGUGUAACUGCGGGGCAACGGCUACUUGAAAGGGAAAUGUGCCUUUGGGCCAUUUCUAAGUAUUUUGGUGAUUGAGUGCAAACACAAGUGCUUAAAUGUGAAAAUAUGCCCAAGGAUGAUCAAAGUGCAAAUCACAAGUUAAGGUAUGUUUCUAAGCCUUAGUACAUUGGUUUUGUGUACUAAUAUAUUUGUCUAAGUGUUAGAAACAGAUAGAAGAAGAGAAGAGAAGACUUGGCUGUGUACAGCCAAGGGGCUGCUUCGGUCUGGGGCACCGGACUGUCCGGUGGUGCACCGGACAGUGUCCGGUGGUGCACCGGACAGUGUCCGGUGCGCCAGGCUGCCUCGGCCGAAGAGGCCGCUCUCGGGUUUUUCUCCGGCGACUUCGGCUAAAAUUCACCGGACUGUCCGGUGUGCACCGGACUGUCCGGUGAGCCAACGGUCGGCCGGGCCAGCGGUCGGCCGCGCGAUCGGCAAGCGACACGUGGCCGAGCCAACGGUCGGAAGGAAGCACCGGACUGUCCGGUGUGCACCGGACUGUCCGGUGCGCCAGAUCUGCAACGGUCGGCAACGGUCGGCUUCGCUUUUUAUGGAAACAAAUCGGGCACCGGACAGUGUCCGGUGUGCACCGGACUGUCCGGUGCGCCACGAGACAGAAGGCAAAGAUGGCCUUCCAGAUUUGUUCCCAACGGCUCCUAGCUGCCUUGGGGCUAUAAAAGGGACCCCUUGGCGCAUGGAGGAGUACACCAAGCAUUCCUACAACUCUUCUAAGCACCAAGACAUCAAUCUCACGCAUUCGUUUCAUUGUGAUAGCAUAUAGAGCUCUUGUGGAGUUGUGAACUCUUUGUGUUGCGUUGCGAGCCCUUGUUGCGACUUGUGUGCGUGUUGUUGCUCUGAUUUUCGAGUCUUGUGUGCGUUGCUCAUUCCCACCUUACUCCGUAUUCUUUGUGAACUCAAUUGUAAGGGCGAGAGACUCCAAGUUGUGGAGAUUCCUCGCAAACGGGAAAAGAUCAAAGGAAAGAAAAACACCGUGGUAUUCAAGUUGAUCAUUGGAUCACUUGAGAGGAGUUGAGUGCAACUCUCGUCCGUUGGGACGCCACAACGUGGAGUAGGCAAGUUUUGUACUUGGCCGAACCACGGGAUAACCACCGUGUCAACUCUGUGAUUGCUUUCUUGUGGUUAUCGUGUUUUGAGUUCUCUCUAGCCACUUGGCCAUACUUGUGCUAACCCUUAACAAGUUUUUGUGGCUUAAGUUUUGAACUUUUACAGGAUCACCUAUUCACCCCCCCCCCCCCCUCUAGGUGCUCUCAAUUGGUAUCAGAGCCAUUCUCUUCAAGAAAGGGACUAACCGCCCGAAGAGAUGGAUCCUAAGGGGAAGGGAAUUGUGAUCAACGACAAGGAGAAGGAGUCCUUCGUCAACGAGCCAAGGGAUGACAAGUCCAAUGACUCGGGCUCGGGCCACAAGCGAAGAGAUGGGAAGAAGAAGAAGACAAGACGCAUCAAGGAGAUCGUCUACUACGACAGCGAUGAGUCCUCUUCUUCCCAAAAGGACGACGACUACGACAAACAAAGGAAACCGGUUAAUUCUAACUUUUCUUUUGACUACUCUCGUAUUCCGCAUAGUUCAAAUUCACAUUUGCUUUCCAUUCCACUCGGCAAGCCCCCACACUUUGAUGGGGAGGACUACGGAUUUUGGAGCCACAAAAUGCGUAGUCACCUAUUCUCUCUCCAUCCUAGCAUAUGGGAGAUUGUAGAUAGUGGAAUGCACUUUAAUAGUUCGGAUAGUCCUAUAUUCAUUAAUGAGCAAAUCCAUAAGAAUGCACAAGCUACUACUGUUCUUCUAGCCUCAUUGUGCAGGGAUGAAUAUAAUAAAGUGAGUGGCUUGGAUAACGCCAAGCAAAUCUGGGAUACCCUCAAGAUCUCUCAUGAGGGAAAUGACGCUACCUUGCUCACCAAAAUGGAGUUGGUGGAGGGCGAGCUUGGACGGUUCGCGAUGAUAAGGGGCGAGGAGCCAACUCAAACAUACAACCGGCUCAAGACCCUUGUCAACAAAAUAAGGAGCUACGGAAGCACGCGAUGGACGGACCACGACGUCGUCCGACUAAUGCUCAGGUCCUUUACCGUUCUUGAUCCUCAUUUGGUGAAUAAUAUUCGUGAGAAUCCCAGGUACACCAAAAUGUCGCCCGAAGAAGUACUAGGAAAAUUCGUCAGCGGGCGAAUGAUGAUCAAGGAGGCAAGGUAUGUGGACGACGCCUUGAAUGGACCGAUCAACGAGCCGCAACCUUUUGCUCUCAAAGCCACAGGGAACAAGGAGGCGCUACCCAGCAAGGUGGCGCAAAUUGAGGCGGCCGGUCUUAAUGAAGAAGAAAUGGCCCUCAUUAUCAAGAGAUUCAAGACGGUGCUAAAGGGUCGCAAUGGACAGCCGAGCAAGACUAAGACCAAGGGGAAGCGAUCAUGCUUCAAAUGCGGUAAGCUUGGUCAUUUUAUUGCUAACUGUCCUGAUAAUGAUAGUGACCAGGAAAAGGGGAACAAGAGGGAAAAGAAGAAGCAUUACAAGAAGGCAAAGGGCGAGGCGCAUCUAGGCAAGGAGUGGGACUCGGAUUGCUCCUCGUCCGACUCCGACAAUGAAGGACUCGCCGCCACCGCCUUCAACAAAUCAACCCUCUUCCCCAACGAGCGUCACACAUGCCUUAUGGCAAGAGAGAAGAAGGUAUGUACUCGCAACUCUACCUAUGCUUCUUCAAGUGAGGACGAAUCUAGUGAUGAGGAUGAAGUAGAUUAUUCAUGUUUGUUCAAGGGCUUAGAUAGAUCUAAGAUAGACAAAAUUAAUGAAUUAAUUGAUGCCUUGAAUGAAAAGAAUAUACUUUUAGAAAAGCAAGAGGAUUUGUUGUAUGAAGAGCAUGAUAAAUUUGUUGAGGCACAAAAAUCCUAUGCUUUAGAAGUUAAGAGAAAUGAAAUGCUUUCUUUUGAACUAUCUACUUGUCAUGAAACCAUUUCUGCUUUGAAAGGUGUCAACAAUGAUUUAAAUGCUAAAUUAGAAGUAGCAAACAAAUCCAAUUCUUGUGUAGAACAUGUUGAAAUUUGUACUAGGUGUAAAGACUUUGACAUUAAUGCUUGUAGUGAACACCUAGUUUCAAUUUCCAAGCUUAAUGAUGAACUGGCUAGUCUUAAUGCUCAACUUAAGACUAGCAAGAAUGAUUUCGAUAAGCUAAAAUUUGCAAGGGAUGCCUACACAAUUGGUAGACACCCCUCAAUUAAGGAUGGACUUGGCUUCAAGAGAGAAGCUAAGAACUUAACAAGCCAUAAGGCUCCCAUUCCCGCCAAGGAGAAAGGGAAGGCCCCUAUGGCUACUAGUGCUAAAAGGAACCAUGCAUUUUUGUAUCAUGAUAGAAGACAAACUAGAAAUGUAAGUCAUGAUGCUUAUGAUUCAUAUGUUUAUGAUUCUCAUGCCAUGUUUGCUCCUAGUUCCUCUUAUGUGUAUGAUAGAAAUGUUACUAGGAGAAAUGUUGUUCCUAAAAGAGAUGCUAUUCAUCAUGUGCCUAGAAGGAAUGUUAUUCAUGCUCCUAGGAAAAUAGCAAAUGAACCUUCUACAAUUUAUUGUGCUUUGAAUGCUUCAUUUGCAAUUUGUAGAAAGGAUAGAAAAGUAAUUGCUAGGAAGUUAGGGGCAAAAUGCAAAGGUGAUAAAACUUGCAUUUGGGUCCCUAAGGAAAUUGUGACUAACCUUGUAGGACCCAACAAGAGUUGGGUACCUAAGUCCCAAGCCUAAAUUUGCCUUGCAGGUUUAUGCAUCCGGGGGUUCAAGCUGGAUUAUUGAUAGCGGAUGCACAAACCAUAUGACGGGGGAGAAGAAGAUGUUCACCUCCUACGUCAAGAAUAAGGAUUCCCAAGAUUCAAUCAUAUUCGGUGAUGGGAAUCAAGGCAAGGUAAAAGGGUUAGGUAAAAUUGCAAUUUCUAAUGAGCACUCUAUCUCUAAUGUGUUUUUAGUAGAGUCACUAGGAUAUAAUUUACUAUCUGUUAGUCAAUUGUGCAAUAUGGGAUAUAACUGUCUGUUCACAAAUAUAGAUGUGUCUGUCUUUAGAAGAAGUGAUGGUUCACUAGCUUUUAAGGGUGUAUUAGACGGCAAACUUUAUUUAGUUGAUUUUGCAAAAGAAGAGGCCAGUCUAGAUGCAUGCUUAAUGGCUAAGACUUGCAUGGGCUGGCUGUGGCAUCGCCGCUUAGCACAUGUGGGGAUGAAGAACCUUCACAAGCUUCUAAAGGGAGAACACGUGAUAGGUUUGACUAACGUUCAAUUCGAAAAAGAUAGACCUUGUGCAGCUUGUCAAGCAGGGAAACAGGUGGGAGGCUCUCAUCACACCAAAAAUGUGAUGACGACAUCAAGACCCUUGGAGAUGCUGCAUAUGGACCUUUUUGGACCCGUCGCCUAUCUGAGCAUAGGAGGAAGUAAGUAUGGUUUAGUUAUUGUUGAUGACUUUUCCCGCUUCACUUGGGUGUUCUUUUUGCAGGAUAAGUCUGAAACCCAAGGGACCCUCAAGCGCUUCCUCAGGAGGGCUCAAAAUGAGUUUGAGCUCAAAGUGAAAAAGAUAAGGAGCGACAACGGGUCCGAGUUCAAGAACCUUCAAGUGGAGGAGUUCCUUGAAGAGGAAGGGAUCAAGCACGAGUUCUCCGCUCCCUACACACCACAGCAAAAUGGUGUGGUAGAGAGGAAGAACAGGACGCUCAUCGACAUGGCGAGGACGAUGCUAGGAGAGUUCAAGACUCCCGAGUGCUUUUGGACGGAAGCCGUGAACACGGCUUGCCACGCCAUCAACAGGGUCUACCUUCAUCGCCUCCUCAAGAAGACGUCGUAUGAGCUACUAACCGGUAACAAACCCAAUGUAUCGUACUUUCGUGUAUUUGGGAGUAAAUGCUACAUUCUAGUGAAGAAGGGUAGAAAUUCUAAGUUUGCUCCCAAAGCUGUAGAAGGGUUUUUGUUAGGUUAUGACUCAAAUACAAAGGCGUAUAGAGUCUUCAACAAAUCAUCGGGUUUGGUUGAAGUCUCUAGCGACGUUGUAUUUGAUGAGACUAAUGGCUCUUCAAGAGAGCAAGCUGUUGAUUGUGAUGAUGUAGAUGAAGAAGAUGUUCCGACAGCCGCUAUACGAACCAUGGCGAUUGGAGAAGUGCGGCCACAGGAACAAGAUGAGCAAGAUCAACCCUCUUCCUCAAUUAUGGUGCAUCCCCCGACUCAAGACGAUGAACAGGUUCAUCAUAAGGAGGCGUGUGAUCAAGGGGGAGCACAAGAUGAUAACGUAAUGGAGGAAGAAGCGCAACCGGCACCUCCAACCCAAGUUCGAGCGAUGAUUCAAAGGGAUCAUCCCGUCGAUCAAAUUCUGGGUGACAUUAGCAAGGGAGUGACUACUCGAUCUCGAUUAGUUAAUUUUUGUGAACAUUACUCCUUUGUCUCUUCUAUUGAGCCUUUCAGGGUAGAAGAGGCCUUGCUAGAUCCGGACUGGGUGUUGGCCAUGCAAGAGGAGUUAAACAACUUCAAGCGCAAUGAAGUUUGGACACUGGUGCCUCGUCCGAAGCAAAAUGUUGUGGGAACCAAGUGGGUGUUCCGCAACAAACAGGACGAGCACGGGGUGGUGACGAGGAACAAGGCUCGACUUGUGGCAAAAGGUUAUGCCCAAGUCGCAGGUUUGGAUUUCGAGGAGACCUUUGCUCCUGUGGCUAGGCUAGAGUCAAUUCGAAUCUUGCUAGCAUAUGCCGCUCACCAUUCUUUCAGGUUGUAUCAAAUGGAUGUGAAGAGCGCUUUCCUCAACGGGCCAAUCAAGGAGGAGGUGUACGUGGAGCAACCCCCUGGCUUCGAGGAUGAACGGUACCCCGACCAUGUGUGUAAGCUCUUUAAGGCGCUCUAUGGACUUAAGCAAGCCCCAAGAGCAUGGUAUGAAUGCCUUAGAAACUUUUUACUUGCUAAUGCUUUCAAGGUUGGGAAGGCCGAUCCAACUCUUUUCACUAAGACAUGUGAUGGUGAUUUGUUUGUGUGCCAAAUUUAUGUUGAUGACAUAAUAUUUGGUUCUACUAACCAAAAGUCUUGUGAAGAGUUUAGCAGGGUGAUGACGCAGAAAUUCGAGAUGUCGAUGAUGGGCGAGUUGAACUACUUCCUUGGGUUCCAAGUGAAGCAACUCAAGGACGGCACCUUCAUCUCCCAAACGAAGUACACGCAAGAUCUGCUAAAGCGGUUUGGGAUGAAGGACGCCAAGCCCGCAAAGACUCCGAUGGGGACCGACGGACACACCGACCUCAACAAAGGAGGUAAGUCCGUUGAUCAAAAAGCAUACCGGUCAAUGAUAGGUUCUUUGCUUUAUUUAUGUGCUAGUAGACCGGAUAUUAUGCUUAGCGUAUGCAUGUGUGCUAGAUUUCAAUCCGAUCCUAAGGAGUGUCACUUAGUGGCGGUGAAGCGAAUUCUUAGAUAUUUGGUUGCUACGCCUUGCUUCGGGCUCUGGUAUCCAAAGGGGUCUACCUUUGACUUAGUUGGAUACUCAGACUCCGACUAUGCUGGAUGUAAGGUCGAUAGGAAGAGUACAUCGGGGACGUGCCAAUUCUUAGGAAGGUCCCUGGUGUCAUGGAACUCUAAGAAACAAACUUCCGUUGCCCUAUCCACCGCUGAGGCCGAGUAUGUUGCCGCAGGACAGUGUUGCGCGCAACUACUUUGGAUGAGGCAAACCCUCAGGGACUUUGGCUACAAUCUGAGCAAAGUCCCACUCCUAUGUGAUAAUGAGAGUGCUAUCCACAUGGCGGAAAAUCCUGUUGAACACAGCCGCACAAAGCACAUAGACAUCCGGCAUCACUUUUUGAGAGACCACCAGCAAAAGGGAGAUAUCGAAGUGUUUCAUGUUAGCACCGAGAACCAGCUAGCCGAUAUCUUCACUAAGCCUCUAGAUGAGAAGACCUUUUGCAGGUUGCGUAGUGAGCUAAAUGUCUUAGAUUCGCGGAACUUGGAUUGAAUUGUAGCAUACAUGUGUUUAUGCCUUUGAUCAUGCUCAUUCUGCAUUUUGUUGCUUAUUAUGGUGCUCAAGUUGUACAAACACUCCCUGGACCUCACAAGUCCGUUGCAAAGUGAUGCACAUGUUUAGGGGGAGAUGUGUUACAACUUGACCCUUUGAGACUAACCAUUUGCUUGAGUUUGCUUGAUUGAGUCUCGAAGGAGGAUUGAAAGGGAAAAGGUGGACUUGGAUCAUGAAAGACUUCCACUGCACUCCGAUGAGAGGGUAACGAAUUCCAAGUUCAUCUCAUGAAAUCUUAUUGCCAUUUGCUCUUAAUUGACGACUUUGGUGAGGCAAUGGGGUUAACAGGCCAAGAUUGAUCCCGUUUUGGUGCUUGAUGCCAAAGGGGGAGAAAAUAAAGGCCAAAGCGAUAAAUGGAUCAGCUACCACUUGAGAGAUUUUGAAAAUAGUAGAAUAGAGUUUUUGUUGUGUCAAAAGCUUUUAUUGUCUCUCUUGUCAAAAGUUGGCUUCUUGUGGGGAGAAGUAUUGAUUAUGGGAAAUAGGGGGAGUUUUUGAAAUCUUUGAUCAAUCUCUUUUGGAAUGACUCUCUUUAUACUUCAACAUGUGUGUUUGACUUAGAGAUAGAGAUUUGAGUUUGAUUUCAAAAACAAACCAAGUGGUGGCAAAGGAUGAUCCAUAUAUGCCAAAAUUGAAUAAAACCAAUUUGAGUUUUUAUUUAAAGUGAUUUUGCACUUGCUCUAGUUGCUUUAUAUUGUGUUGGCAUAAAUCACCAAAAAGGGGGAGAUUGAAAGGGAAAUGUGCCUUUGGGCCAUUUCUAAGUAUUUUGGUGAUUGAGUGCAAACACAAGUGCUUAAAUGUGAAAAUAUGCCCAAGGAUGAUCAAAGUGCAAAUCACAAGUUAAGGUAUGUUUCUAAGCCUUAGUACAUUGGUUUUGUGUACUAAUAUAUUUGUCUAAGUGUUAGAAACAGAUAGAAGAAGAGAAGAGAAGACUUGGCUGUGUACAGCCAAGGGGCUGCUUCGGUCUGGGGCACCGGACUGUCCGGUGGUGCACCGGACAGUGUCCGGUGGUGCACCGGACAGUGUCCGGUGCGCCAGGCUGCCUCGGCCGAAGAGGCCGCUCUCGGGUUUUUCUCCGGCGACUUCGGCUAAAAUUCACCGGACUGUCCGGUGUGCACCGGACUGUCCGGUGAGCCAACGGUCGGCCGGGCCAGCGGUCGGCCGCGCGAUCGGCAAGCGACACGUGGCCGAGCCAACGGUCGGAAGGAAGCACCGGACUGUCCGGUGUGCACCGGACUGUCCGGUGCGCCAGAUCUGCAACGGUCGGCAACGGUCGGCUUCGCUUUUUAUGGAAACAAAUCGGGCACCGGACAGUGUCCGGUGUGCACCGGACUGUCCGGUGCGCCACGAGACAGAAGGCAAAGAUGGCCUUCCAGAUUUGUUCCCAACGGCUCCUAGCUGCCUUGGGGCUAUAAAAGGGACCCCUUGGCGCAUGGAGGAGUACACCAAGCAUUCCUACAACUCUUCUAAGCACCAAGACAUCAAUCUCACGCAUUCGUUUCAUUGUGAUAGCAUAUAGAGCUCUUGUGGAGUUGUGAACUCUUUGUGUUGCGUUGCGAGCCCUUGUUGCGACUUGUGUGCGUGUUGUUGCUCUGAUUUUCGAGUCUUGUGUGCGUUGCUCAUUCCCACCUUACUCCGUAUUCUUUGUGAACUCAAUUGUAAGGGCGAGAGACUCCAAGUUGUGGAGAUUCCUCGCAAACGGGAAAAGAUCAAAGGAAAGAAAAACACCGUGGUAUUCAAGUUGAUCAUUGGAUCACUUGAGAGGAGUUGAGUGCAACUCUCGUCCGUUGGGACGCCACAACGUGGAGUAGGCAAGUUUUGUACUUGGCCGAACCACGGGAUAACCACCGUGUCAACUCUGUGAUUGCUUUCUUGUGGUUAUCGUGUUUUGAGUUCUCUCUAGCCACUUGGCCAUACUUGUGCUAACCCUUAACAAGUUUUUGUGGCUUAAGUUUUGAACUUUUACAGGAUCACCUAUUCACCCCCCCCCCUCUAGGUGCUCUCACUACUUCGCGCCAACGGUCACCUGCAACAGCAAUUAAUGCGCGCCAGAGCGCGCAGAAGUCAGGCACGCGCGUAGUGGCGCACCGGACACUCUACAGUACAUGUCCGGUGCGCCACCAGACAUCCAGGCGGGCCCAGAAGACAGAGCUCCAACGGUCGAAUCCCAACGGCAUUGGUGACGUGGCUGGCGCACCGGACAUGUCCGGUGCACACCGGACUGUCCGGUGCACCAUACGACAGACAGCCUCCACCAACGGUCAUGUUUGGUGGUUGGGGCUAUAAAUACCCCAACCACCCCACCAUUCAUUGCAUCCAAGUUUUCCAGCUUCCAACCACUAUACAAGAGCUAGCAUUCAUUGCAAAGCACACCAAAGAUAUCAAAUCCUCUCCCAACUCCACACAAAGCUUUAGUGACUAGAGAGAGUGAUUUGUAGUGUUCAUUUGAGCUCUUGCGCUUGGAUCGCUUCUUUUCUUUGGCAUUCUUUCUUGUGAUCAAACACUCACUUGUAAUUGAGGCAAUCGACACCAAUUGUGUGGUGGUCCUUGCGAGAAGUUUGAUUCCCAAGUGAUUUGAGAAGAGAAGCUCACUCGGUCCGAGGGACCGUUUGAGAGAGGGAAAGGGUUGAAAGAGACCCGGUCUUUGUGACCACCUCAACGGGGAGUAGGUUUGUGAGAACCGAACCUCGGUAAAACAAAUCCUUGUGUCACACUCCUUAUUUGCUCGAGAUUUGUUUUGCACCCUCUCUAGCGGACUCAUUUUUAUUUCUAACGCUAACCCGGCUUGUAGUUGUGUUUAUAUUUGUAAAUUUCAGUUUCGCCCUAUUCACCCCCCCUCUAGGCAACUAUCAGCGACCGCAACCACGGCAGCGAACUGGGUCGCGACAGUCAUGAACCCGGUGGUCCGCGGUGAGGCAGCGAAAAUAGCGGGAGGGGGCGGGUGGGAGGCGGAAGGGGUGGCGGGGGCGGUAAGGGGGAGCUUUGGCGGGAGAGAGCAUCGCGUUUAAAAAGGGUUUGCAGCUCCCAGGGGAAGCGGCUGUCGCGAUACGAGCGACAGUCAGGACGGGAGGGGGCAGCAAAGAGGGGGCAGGUGAGACAGGACGUGUAAUUCCUCCACUGUCGGAGACCGCAGCGCUGUCAGACAAAAACGUAUCCCUGGAGAUCUCGCAGUGUCCGGCCACAGUAGAGGGGAUGGGCGACAAUGACGCGGGCACAGGGCGGGGGGUGGUUGGGCUGCAUUGAAGACACCAUCGUCAACCUCAGAAGACCUCGCGAGGCAGGCAACCGCGAGCACCACCGAACCCAGGGAGUGGUGCGGGAUGAGCACAGAUGAAGCUAAGACAAGAGGACCCCCAGUCACAAUGACGUUCGCAAUGUUCUGACUGGCAACCGAAACCCUGAACACCCAUGGACGCAUGCACACGACACUGAGGCGAUCCGGAUACACUGAGAGAAGGUAGUUCGCCGCGUUUCGGACGAAGUGGGUGUUGUAGUGGGGAAGAAGAGACGAUGGGGUCAACCAGAGAUGAGCCAGGUUUUGAGGGCUAACCGAACCUGGGGUGGCGGUGGAGUGGAAGUUGGCGAGGAGCCAUCCCUGCAUGCGGGCACCUAGGCGGAGGAGUGCCCCUGAACCUAGCGGCACAGCACCGGCGCGCGAAGCUCCAGUGGGUGGUAUAGCGCGGGGCGUGAGGCCGGGGUGGGUGGACGGGGGGCAGGUGGUGGUGGCCGGUGGUCGGUGGCCGGCGUCGGGCGGCUCCGAGCUGGAGUCGCCUCCGCGGUCGCAAGGUGCGCUCGUGGAGCUGCUAGCCAUCCGUGUAGAUAUAUAAUUAAGCGUUCGAAGUUGGUUUUUCAUAAUUGAUAACGAUGAUCAUUUAAUGACAAAUUGAUCUAAAGCAAAACCUAAACCCUAACGUCAGUGGUGGUUACUGAAUAUAAAAUCUAAGCAUCUUCAUACCCUCUGAACGCGCCCCCUAACAGCCUUCAAGACAUUACACGAGAGUAGCUUGAAAGAUUUCGGAUGCUAACUUGUUUUGAUUAUUAUUGUUGACUCUGAUGAAUUUUAGACCUCAAACCAAAGCCAUUAUUUAGAUUAUGAAAUUAGAUUUUCAUCUAUACAUGGAUUAUAAAAAAUGGAGUUUAUACACAUCUUGAGUGUCCAUUUUACUGCAGGCAAUGUAGACUUGAACUUGAGUUGGACUAGGCUUCCGAUCAGUAGCGAAUACAAGCCCUGGAUCAUCCGGUUUGUGGCACGAGGCAUGGCCCAUGCACAUCUAGUUAGUUUUAUUGUAUUUAGACUAAAAUAUAUUCAAAGUUCAAUAGAUCCAAUAGACUGUUCUAGGACAUGAUGGGAUUAGGGUUGGCAAUGGGUCGGAUUCGGGUCGGAUAGAGCAAAAAUCCACCCGCGGUCAUACCUUUGAGGCCUAUCUAAACCCGCCCGCGAUCGCACCCACGGGUGCAAUUUCAAACCCACAUCCAAACCCAUUGGGUUUCGAGUCACCCAUGAGUUUUUACUCAUUGUACACUUUUAAAUAAUAAUUCAACUAUAAGCAAUUAAAUACCAGCAAUAAUUAAAUUAUAUCUAUGGAUUUAAAGCUUUGUUGAGAAGCAACAAACACUUCAUGAAUCAUUAACCAAAUUACUUAUUCAAAAUAAUUACUAUUAUAUCUUAAUCAUUAUUGAGCAAAAUAAUGAAUAUACCAAAUUUCGGAUCGGAUGUGGGUCACCCGGAAGUUGAAAUAGAAACAGGCACCCACACCCGCGAAACUUUAGGUCGGGUAUAGAUUCACCCGCGGGUCAAAACCUUUACCCAUUCAUGCAUCCAUCGGGUCAGGUACCCAGGUUUCGGGUUUGCUGGUUAAAUUGUCAUUCCUAGAUGGGAUCCUAGAUCUGUCACCGCUUCCGGCUGGUUUUAAACGUCAUGGUUGGACUCUCACCUUUCUCCAAAUAUUUCGUGACCCCCUCCAAUGUUACCAAGACAAUAUUAUUAGAUAGUAAUAUAUUUUUAAAACUAUAAAAAUCGCUUAGGAGUGCACUUAACUUUUAAUUUAAUUGUCGUGUUUGAGGUUAAGUUAUUAAACCUUAUCUAUACUUACUUAAUCUAUAAGAACGUAAUGUUGGCACCUGGUGAUACCAGAUCUUCACCUUCUGUCAAGUCUUCACCCUCCGUUACCACACCGUGCAAAAAAUACUACAAAACGAGUACUCGAACUCACACACCUUCUUGAUCCAAAUAUUUAGGGGUAAACAUCAAACCACACAUACCUUAGUGUUUAUAAAUAAACAAUAAUUAUAUUUGAAUAAAUAUCUCAAUGCCUAUUUAUCUAUACUUACUUUAUUAAUAACCUAAUGUGGGCACCUGGUGCUACCACAGCUUCACCCUCCACGUUGACACUCUGGCCCGCCCCACGCGCUUCGACUGGUUCUCCCGUCCCCCUCUAAGCUACUGCCCUGUGGACACGCUGACACUCUAGGCCCGUCCCUCGCUCUCUGCCUGUUCUCCCACCCCUCUCUCAGCUACUGCUCUAUGCAUCCCAGCACUUCUCCUGCCCCUCUCUCAGCUACUACCCUGUGCAUCCCAGCACCCACACAGCCAGCUACUGCGCCUGCUCAGCACCCGACCCCACCCACGCAGCUAUCACACCGUACAAAAAAAAGUGCAAAGCAAGCACUCAAACCCACACCCUAGCUGAGAAAAUUUGGGGCUAACCAUCAGACCACACGUACCUUAAUGUUUAGAAAUAAAUAAUGAUUAUAUUUGAAUAAAUAUCUUAAUACUUAUUAAUAUGAUAUAUAAAAACUGUAGCAAAUCACGAGCAACUGGCUAGUAUCAAUGAGUGCACCCAAAGGCUUUUGUCAGCAAGGUUGCAAACUGACUAUUUAUGAGUUUCAAGGAAUAAAAUAGAACAACAUCCUACUAAAAUUUUAUGUUAAGACAACGGCAUACACUGAAGGUUAUCUUAAGAGGCCAGCGCAAACCAAAACUAACAUCCAAAAUCUACCACUGAAACUGAGAACAACAACUGAACCACACAUGUACAAGCCUCGGCUUAAACCUCAAACCACUGCCACAUACAGCUAGCUAAUCCACGCCAGUGGCAUCUGGCAACUCGAUAUCGGGGAUGAAAAACAAAAUGCUACUUGCGUCUGGAAAAGCUAACUCCUCCCAACCUUCCUCUCUUUUGUUUCAUCACUUUGCAUCUUCAGAAAAGCCCUAGACAUGUUCAUUCGUCUUGUGGAUGGAAAUAUGAAACAGCACCGUUGCCUGAUCUGUCCUUGUGUAAACCUAAGAGAUAAAUGGACAUGCCAGGCAAAUGACCUCAGUAGGAGAUCUAACUAAUUUGUUUUCCAAAACAAACAUUAUUCGUUGGUUUCCAAAAGGCCUAGCAAUGGCAACAAAGCCUAACCAUGUAAAACUGCUUUCUGGUUUACUGUCAGCUCUAACCACAAUCGACGCAAGGCUUCAAAAUAGACAUUAACCAGCCGAAGCAUUAAGUGGCAAAAAUAUUCAUCUUCCUCACAAGUUGUCAAUUUAUUCUUCUCAAGAGUUAGCUCAGAUCAGCUGGAUUAUUACUCCACGUGUAGUCUGAAAAUUUCUCUAAGUUAAUGGUUAUGAUUAGAUGAAACAUGUCAGUAUUUCUAGUCCCCGACCCACAAACUUAUGUUUUGAAGCUUAAUAUAUUGAGACUUUACCUAAGCUUUUUAUCAUGCUGAUGCAUAGAACUCCAUAGUAACAAGAUCCUCCAUUUGAACCUCUCCAAAUUUAACAUCACAGAGAAUUCUCCAGAUUCCCUCGGAGAAAGGCAAACAGUUCAAAGCUUAACUAUUGAGAUUGGAGGUGAUGCAAAGCGUUCCAAUAACUAACCAUAUUUACAUCUAGCACAAUUGUCUGGGUGGUGUAGUUGGUUAUCACGUUAGUCUCACACAUUAAAGGUCCCCAGUUCGAACCUGGGCUCAGACAAUGUUUACCCAUUUUUUUUAUUGUUCAGUCAUCUCUUUUUUUUCACAUCUUAUAAUUUGUUUUUGUUCAGUCAUCACCUUUGUUCUUUUCUUUCUUGUUCAGUCAUCACUUCUGUUCUUUUCUUGACAUCUAGUAGUAUUUGUUUUUGUUCAGUCAUCACCUUUGUUCUUUUGUUUCUUUUUUGUUCCUGUACUGUACAGUAUUUAUCAGUCAUCGUUUACCCAAUUUUUUUGUGUUCAGUCAUCACUUUUGUUGUUUUGUUCACAUCUAGUAGUAUUUGUUUUUGUUCAGUCAUUACCUUUGUUCUUUUCUUUCUUUAUUUUUGUUCAGUCAUCACUUCUGUUCUUUUGUUGACAUCUAGUAGUAUUUGUUUUUGUUCGGUCACCACUCACCACCUUUGUUCUUUUGUUUCUUUUUGUUCCUGUUCUGUACAGUAUUUAUUAGUCAUCACUUCUGUUCUUUUGUUUCUGGAAGCGCAAUAUUUUUUUUCAUUCCCGUUUUGGGCCUCAUUAGGUCAUCACUUCUAUGAGCUCAGUAAGCGGGUCCGAAUUUUUUGUUUUUUAGCCAUUUUUGUCACAAGAAUUUACACUUAGACCUUGGAAAAUUUAUUUCCCGUUUUGGACCCGAUACUCGGCGCCGAGGUAACACAGCUCGGCGCCAUAGGCUAUAGCGCGGAGCUCUUACGUGGCGCUGGCAGCUCCCGGCGGCUAGGGCUGGCGUGGCGUCGACGCGGUGCCGAUACGGCCUCGUAGCUCGGCGCCACAGAUCUUGGCGCCGAGCUACGAAGGCCUAUAAAACGGCCGCGCGGCUGGUCGAGAAGAGCUCAUCUCCCCUCAAUUCAAAACUUCGUCAAAGUUGCUCUAUUCAAAGUUUCGAGUUGGAAUACUUCGUAGACCAAGGUAUGGAGUCUCACUGAUUCGUUUUGUAUAUUGGGUUGUGAUUUUUUGAUUAUUAGUUUCCAUUGUUGCUCCUAGAAUAUAUAGUAUAGUUAAUAUGAUGACUACAUUUGAUUUGAUAGUUUGUGAAAUCCGAUUAUAAAGUCUAUUAGGUACAUGUGUUAAUUAUAAUCGUUUCUUAGAUGAAAGACAUGUACCGGGAGGCAUUGUGGCAGAAGAGAGGUCGUCCUCGGGAGUUAUAUCCGGACGUAUCUAGUAAGGAUGCUCAUGAUCCUUCUAAACUUCCUGUGCCUAACUGUGACUGUGACAAACUGGCUUGGGUAUGUCAAUCCAAACAUCCAGACACGGCUGCUCGUUGUUUCUACCUUUGUGGCGGUUUUAACGUACGUAACUUAUGACUUGUGACUUAAUAUUGUUUACUAGAUGUGUAAUAAUGAUUCGUUCCAUUGUUUUAGGAGCACACUGAGGUGUUUUUUCCAGUGGAUCGACGGUUAUGAUAAAUUUGACCCUCGAUAUCUUCUUUUCGCUAAUUGGUUGUGUGGAAGGACUAGUCAUGAGCGUUUUAAGCGUUGGGUACCACCUCCCCCAAAUCCUCCACCAAUGACGGAUGCGGAGAAGGAGGUAGCAACAGAAAGAAAAAUGGACUUGCCGCCUCGAUGCGAUUGCGGAGAUCGUGCUGUCAUCGACGAGGAAUAUGUGCUAACUCAAUACUAAAAUACUAAACACUAAACUAAGUAAAUACUAACUAAAUGCUAACCACUAACUAACCACUGACUACUAAACUAAGUAAAACCCUGCUAAAAAUGCUAACUAAUUUCUAAAUAAAACCGCCUUACCUUGCGAUGGCGUUACGUGGGAGACGACGACGGUCUGGCGAACAGGCGGGUAGAGCGCGGGAGGAGGAGCUCGGCCGCGGGGGAGGGGCUUGGGCCGCAGGUUUUUAGGAGCUCGGGCGGGACGGGGCAGAUGGAGGAGGAGCUCGGCCGCGGGGAGGAGGAGCCCGGGCGGCGGCGGCGCGAGCUCGGCGGCCUCUUGACCGCGGGGAGGAGGACCGCGGCGGCGGGGAGGGGGAGAGCGGCGGCGGCGCGACUGGACAGAGGGAGGAGACCGGGAUGGGGCAGAGGGAGGAGCUUGGCCGCGGGUGGAUGAACGCCGGCGGAUGCAGCAACGAUGGAAGCGGGCGGCGCGCGCGGCGGUGCGUGCUCGGCGGUGGCGAUGAGUGAGAGAUAGAAUGGAGAAAGAGAAACUGGGACUAUGGCAAAAUCCUAACUCGGCGCCAAGAUCUAUGGCGCCGAGCUAGGGACGCCACGUCGGAGCCACGUCAGCGCCACGGAGCCAGCGAGGUAGGUUCCUCGGCGCCAUAGUCUAUGGCACCGAGAUGUGUUAGCUCGGCGCCAUAGGCUAUGGCGCCGAGCUAAGGGUCCAAAUUAGGAAAUAAUAAGUCUUCCAGGAGUCUAAGUGUAAAUUUUUGUCACAAACAAAGCUAAAAACCAAAAAAAAUCGGUAAGCGGGUCUGGUAGUUCAAAACAAAUGAUGUCGUGUAACUUUGUUGCACAACAUGUUACAUGGAAUCCCUCAACUGAUCGACUGCCACUAUGUGAUAUCGGGAAGCUAAUACCUAACGUAUUUAUUUUAGGAAAAAACAUUUAAUAAAAUAGUUUUGCAUAGUAAGAUGUGAGACAAAGGAUUAGGACCAGUAUUUUCAGCAUCAUCCGCCAUCUAAAUAUUCUAAAACACAUGGGUUUCCUUGCAAAACAGCAAGGCCACAUCAACUCAGAAAUCUCGAUCGUUGGAUCGUCAACCGAUAAAUCUUCAUCAUUGGAUGGAGGCUCAACAAUCAUAUGACGAUACUCCAGAGUCUUCUGGUAUCGGCAGCCCAUGGAAGAGUAAAAGCCAAUAAAGAACUCUAGAAAAGGGCGCCUCAGAUCCAGACCUCAGAUCCAUAUCUCUAAUCCUCUCUGCUUCGGUGAGAUCCUUCGCUAGAUAAGGAAAACCCCAGAGUAGGAGCUACAGAUCUCCAAAAUCUCCAUUCUCAGUCUGCAUCGGCGAGUUCCUUCGUAACCCCUCUGCUCCCUUGCUCCCGUCAUUGUUUUGGACCAGCUUAAAAGUCCUCUUGUAUAUAUGGUUUUUUCAGCCAAAAAAUAGUCUAAAAUACAUUUCAGCCCAAAAAUAUGGUCCAAAAGACCUCCUGCUUGCAGCGAUUGAGUCUGGUGUUGGCGGGCUCCCUCAUUCGCUCGUUUUAAAUGGUACUACUCUGCUCUUAAUAUUUAUUGUCCGCUAGUUUAUUUUUUAAACUAAAGCACGACAAAUAAAAACCAGAGUAGUACAUCAUUAUAUUUGUAGAGUGGCCUGGGACGUUAAUUUUAGAGAGCUCCGCCACUACUAACAGAAACACGAAAAUUUCUUGCAGGCAAUCAAGAACAAAGAACCAGAUCAAUCGAUUCCAUCAAUAGUUAUAUCAAGGUAAAUACACUCUUUCUAUCUAUCUUAUUUUAAUAAUCAUGUGCUUAUUUUCUCUAUUAUUUCAUAAAUUCCAUAUCUAAUACGAUCCCACUUCACCGAAUCUCAAAAUUGGGCAGACCAUCCAAUAGAAAACGUAAAAUAUCAAGUAUUAGUAUAAAUAAAGAACAAGCUUUAGAAAAUAGAUAUAAAAGAAGAAACCUCAAUAUCUAAAAAAAAUGCAUAUUUAGCAAUUCCACAAGGAAUAGUUUAUCUAUCACCUGAAUAUAUACAACACCUGAAAGAAACAUAUAUUGAAAGAUCAUACUUUGGAAUGGCAAACUAUACAUGUAAAUACUGUAGUGCCAUAUUUUGGUCUCAAGAGAGUCUCAAACGUGCAUCAAAUUACAAAGACAAAGAAUUAGUUUAUACAAAUUGUUGAAAACAAGGCAAGAUUGUCAUUCCAGCAUUUAAAGCACCACCUGAAUUUUUACCAAAUCUUCUAAAAUAUAAUGGAGAUAAUCGUUCUAAGAAUUUUCUUAAUAAAAUCAGACAAUACAAUAGUCUUUUUUGCAUUUACUUCCAUGAGUGCUAACAUAGACAAAUCAAUAAAUCGUGGACAAGGACCAUAUAUAUUUUGUAUUAAUGGUCAAGUCCAUCCUCGUAUUGGAUGUCUACUACCAACACACAAUAAUAGACCAAAAUUUGUCGAAUUAUAUAUAUAUAUAUGACACCGAGAAUGAAAUUUCAAAUAGAAUAGGUGCCUUACAAGAGGAUGAAAAUGACAUAGAUGACAUUGACCCAACAAUAGUUAAAGGCUUAAUGGAAAUGUUGGAUACACACAACCCUUUGGUACAAAAAUUCCGUUUCGCUCGAGAUUUAAUUAAAGAAAAUAAUGUUAUAGACAUCAACAUUUGUAUAAUUGGAGCUAACAAAGGUGACCCUAUUCAGUAUGAAAUGUCUACCGUUGAUGAUCUUGCAAUGUUAAUUGUAGGAGAGUUAACAUUAGAAAACUACAAACAUGAUAUUAUAAUUUAUAAAAAGGAUCAUGGUCGACAAGAAAUAUCUAUCUUACAUCCUGCACUUCUAGCAUUACAAUACCCAUUACUAUUUCCGUAUGGUGAAAGAGGUUACCAACUUGGUAUAUAUUACCAUGAUACAAACAAUGAGAAAAAGAAAAAAGGACGAAAGUAACAAUGCAUGAAUUUUUCAAAUAUCACAUGCAUUUUAGACUAGAUCAACCAAAUCCAUAUUUAUGUUAUGGACGAUUAUCAAAGCAAGUAAUAGUCGAUUGUCGAACUUUAGAAGAUGAAGAUAGAUUACGAUUUAUUGCUAAGAAUCAAAAUAAAUUACAGAUAGAAUAUUUACAAGGAUUAGCCGAUGCAGUAGAAAAAAGGCGUAGUACAAGGCGAUCAAAUUGGAAAGAAAGUAAUUUUACCAUCAAGCCACACAGGUUGUAAACGAUAUAUGAUUCAAAACUACCAUGACAGAAUUUGCCUUAUGUUGAGUAUAUGGACCACCAGAUCUAUUUAUAACUUUCACAUGUAAUCCUAAAUGGCCAGAAAUUGAAUCCAUGUUAUUAGAAGGUCAAAAACCAAAUGAUAUUAUGUACAAUAUUAAAUGAUAUAAAAUAAGGAAUUAUAUUUGGACCAGUCAAUGCGAUAUUAUACUCAAUAGAAUUUCAAAAACGAGGUUUACCGCAUGUGCAUAUCUUAGUGUGGCUAGAUAAAAGAAAUAUCGAUAUAACUAUUGAUAUAAUUAAUCGUUUUAUCUCUGCUGAAAUACCAAGUUCAAAGGAAGAUCCAUUGGGAUAUGCACCUGUAGCUGAAAAUAUGAUACAUGGACCAUGUGAUGUGGUGGCAUGAAUCCAAAAUGCACCUGUAUGAAAAAUGAGAAAUGCUCAAAAUUUUAUCCAAAAGAAUUUCAAGAAGAAACUACAUUCGAUCAAAAUGUCUUCACAUUGUAUAGACGUCGAGAUACUGGUAUUUAUAUUAAAAAGGGUGAGUAUAAUUUAGAUAAUAGAUGGGUUGUCCCACAUAGCAUAUACUUACUCAAAAAAAUAUCAAGCUCAUAUAAAUGUAGAAUAUUGCAAUAAAAGUAGAAUUCUUAAAUAUUUAUGAAAAUGUGUAAACAAAGGUCCUGACAAAGCUAGAAUAGUUUUUCAGCAAAUAAAAAAGGGAAACUAUACGUUUAUAUAUGAAAACAAUGAAGAUAAUGAAAUACAACAAUAUUUAGAAUGUAGGUACAUAUGUGAACUAGAUGCGAUUUGGAGAUUACUUGGCUUCUAAAUACACUAUCAUUUUCCUUCUGUGGAACGUCUACCUGUUCAUCUACCACUCAUGAAUAACAUUAUAUAUAAAGAAAACAUUGAACUUAAACACAUAUUAGAAAAUCCAAAAACACAAAAAAAAUUGUUCACAUGUAAAUUAGACGAUCAAAUCAAUCUCACUUUUGUUACAGAAUUGCAACACCAAAUCUGAUACUUUCAAUGUUUUAUAUAUAUUCUAUUGCAAUGAUGACGCAACACACAUAUAUUCAGGAGUUCAAAGGUCAUUUGGUAUUAUGGAAAUUUAAUAGUCAAGAAGCAUAAACAGUAAAUUAGAUCUCCAUUCUUUUCUACCUUAUAAUGUUGCAUAAUUAUAACUCUUAAAUUCUAAUUAAAUGUGUUAUAUCCUAUCUCACUUCUUAUUUUGACUUACAAAUCAACACAUGUCAUGAAGACCACUUUUGAGCAACGAUCGUAUGCCUUUUCUUUUGGGCAGAUUUAUCAUAACUCUUUUGGAACCACUGAAGAAUAGAGUUGUUAAUAAAUCAUCAAUAUUUUAUUGUAAAACACAGUACUGCUUGCUAUCAGGUUGCUAACAAUGGAGUGUCUGUAAUAUUUUGGAAGAACAGAGAAAUCAAUGUGUGCUAUCACUCUUACUAUAUGCUCAAACACUAUCAAUGUAUAAACCCCUUGAUGUAUAUAGUGGGUUUUUUUAAAGAGUGAUAUACUUAGUAGCUUUUGCUUAAUCACUGGGACUAUUAUCUAUCACUCCCAACUUCGACAACAAAACUCUUUUGCAAUAUACAUAGCUACAUACUAUAUAUUCAAGUAGCUACCAAUAUAAAAACCAGUCUUUUGUAAUAUACAUAGCUACUUACUAUAUAUUCAAGUAGCUACCAAUAUAAAACCCCUGAUGUUAUAUACCGUAACUAAAAAUAUAAAUUACACCAAAAAAUUACAAUAGAAAUAAAAAGUGUGCGCGACAACGCCGCGCAAAAUUCUAGUCUACUCUACUCCCUACGAGAGCGGGCUGUAAAAAAUUCCACUUGAGUUGUCAUAAAUGUGGCCUUAGACCUUGUUUGGCUUGGCUCCGGCUCCACUGAUUUGGGCUCCAACUCCAAACUCCAGCUGAAGCCCACUCUAGCUGGAGUUAGAGCUGUCUGGAAGGGGUGUUUAGCUAGCUGGGUAUUCUUAGUUCCAGAAAAGUGAAUUUAUAGGUUGUAUUGACAUUGUUGCUCUUGGUUGAUUGAGUGCGCUUUAAUAUGAUUGUGAUACAUUUUUUUAGCAAAAUAUUUUUGUACAACUAUUUUUUCAUGAAUAUGAAAUAAAAUGUUAUUUGACAGAAGUUUAUAAUAUAAAAUAUGACAUGUCCAUAGACUAGAACCGAAUAGCUCAUAGUAUAAAAUGUUCAUUAUUUUUUUCUAGUUCCACGAAAAGGCAAUAGAUGUAGCCAAACUAUCAUGAAAUGCACACAUGGUCACAAAGCUUAAUUCCGAAGUCGAUCCAUGAGACACUGCAUACUUGUAUCUUUCUAGGAUAGUAUGAACAAAAUGUGGAUCACUGUCAAAAUUAGCAAAAUCCUCAUCCUCACUCGCAUGUUCGCGAAUGAAGUUAUGAAGAACCAUGGUGGCAGCAACAAUCUUUUUUUGUGUGAGCAUGGAAUAGCUCGAUGUCAUAUAAAUGAUUUGCCAUUUCAUGUUCAAUACCCAAACGAGCGCUUUAUGACAUUACAAAUAGACGAGUGCACUCGAUUGAACUUCUCUUUAGGAGUACUUCGUAAGGGAACAUGAGAGAGAGGCGUAAGGGAACAUGGCACGGUAAAAAAAGAUCGAAUCUUUUUUAUGUGUAAAAUGGCAUUGGUGUGUAAUUUUCAUACAAGUCCACGUCUUUAUUCACUUUGAAGAGUUUUGGAGCUGUGAAAUAGUUACUCCACCAAAAUGAACAAGAGCUCGAGGAACUCCAUGGAAUUAAGGUGCUCCAAAAAAAGAUAGAGUUGAGUUGUUUGGCUGGCUCCACUCAACUCCACCAUAGAGUUUGAAGUUGGAGCUAUGCCAAACAAGGUCUUGAUCUUCGUUGAUGUGUUCAUCUCAAAUAAUUACGCAAGUAAUUUGGAUAACUGAGAGCGAUGGUAAUUAUUACCAUAUGCAAAUUAAAUAGGCUAAUUACAUGGGUUUCCUUUUUGAUAAAUUAGCAACGAGGGUUCUCUUUACCUUAUUAUUAAGAAAAUGAGGAACCUAGGAUUGUGCGAUCGGAAGAGUGGCUUCUCUUUUCCGAAUUCUGAACCGGGUCCACGAGAAGCUGUAGAAGCAACGGGAAGAUCCCUGCUGCGUGGCAUCGCGACUCGCGGCCGACACGCGGGCCCGGGGCGCUCCAGUCCACUCCACGCCAAGCCAGCCUUUGCCGCGCGCCAAACUAGCCGUUGCGCGCGUCGCCUUGCCAGUUGCCCCUCGUCCCCGUCUCCUCCUCAAACGGUCGAAUCCAAUGCAUGCCGCAACCUCCAUUUAAACAUCUCCCCCACGCCGUUCCUCCGCACCACACUCCACUGCUCUCCUCCACUCCACUGCCUCCCAUCCCUGCUGCUCCCUCUCCCAUCCCGGUUCCAUCAUGGGCGGCCUCUCGGUGAUCGCACCGCCCGCGCGGGACUCGGCUUCCCCGCAGCACCGGCGCGCGCGCCGCGCGUUCCUCGUGUCCAACUAUCUCAUCCUGGGCUGCGCCUCCGGGUGCGGCUUCCUCACGCUCUCGCUCCGCCUGGCCCCCUCCGUCGACGGCUUCCUCCUCAUCCUGCUGCACGCGCUCACGGUGGCCGCCGCCGUGGCCGGGUGCGCCGUCAUCGCGGCGCCGGACCCUCCGCGCGGCCGCUGCUACACCGUCCACAUGUCCGCCACCGUCGUCGUCUCCAUCCUGCAGGGCGCCGCCGCCGUGCUCGCCUUCUCCCGCACGUCGGAGUUCCUCUCCGACGGCCUCAAGUCGUACGUCCGCGAGGAGGACGGUGCCGUCAUCCUCCGCAUGGUCGGCGGCCUCGGCGUCGGCAUCUUCUGCCUCGAGUGGGUCGCGCUCGCGCUCGCCUUCGUGCUCAGGUACUACGUCUACGUCGACAGGGAGUGCGGCGGCAACCCCAUGCGCCGCAGCGCCAAGGUCGGCGGCGAGGACGGCGCCGGCACCUGGCCCUGGCCCUUCCAGGUCUGAAGUGGACCAUGAGUUUUUGGAAGGGAAAUCAAGCGUCGAGUGUUAUAGAACUAUGUGGGGGGACGGGAUGCACAAUGUUGUGAUUCGUUUAUUUGUUUAUUAUGUGGUUUUGUAAUGUCAUAUUUGUAACGCUGUUAUAUUUAUAUAAUUAUAUAUGUGAAA